RNAcentral lists this transfer RNA (66 nucleotides) under Lopheros sp. UPOL 000578. Its description in RNAcentral is "tRNA-Glu". Lineage: Eukaryota; Metazoa; Arthropoda; Insecta; Coleoptera; Lycidae. The record is from RNAcentral.
AUUUCCAUUUUAUAUAGUUUAAAUAAAACAUUACAUUUUCAUAGUAAAGUUAAAAUCAUUUUAUAA